AUUGAACGCUGGCGGCAGGCCUAACACAUGCAAGUCGAGCGGAUGCAGGGUGCUUGCUCCUGGUUUCAGGGGCCGAGUGGUGAAUAAUUGCUAGGAACCUCCCUGUUAGUUGGUGCUAACGUCCGGAAACGGGCGCUCAUACGCCAUUACCCCAUACGACCAACGUGUGAGAUCUUCGGAUCUUCGGCUCUCGCGCGAUCCGAGGUCGGAUUAGCUAGUUGGCGGGGUAAAGGCCUACCAAGGCGACGAUCCGUAACUGGUCUGAGAGGAUGAUCAGUCACACUGGAACUGAGACACGGUCCAGACUCCUACGGGAGGCAGCAGUGGGGAAUAUUGGACAAUGGGCGAAAGCCUGAUCCAGCCAUGCCGCGUGUGUGAAGAAGGUCUUCGGAUUGUAAAGCACUUUUAGUUGGGAGGAAGGGCAGUAAGUUAAUACCUUGCUGUUUUGACGGUACCAACAGAAUAAGCACCGGCUAACUUCGUG
Molecule: ribosomal RNA, 484 nt
Filed under: uncultured bacterium
Lineage: Bacteria
Description: partial 16S ribosomal RNA
Rfam family: Bacterial small subunit ribosomal RNA
Source: RNAcentral